RNAcentral lists this ribosomal RNA (433 nucleotides) under uncultured bacterium. RNAcentral's name for it is "partial 16S ribosomal RNA". It matches the Rfam family "Bacterial small subunit ribosomal RNA", at positions 29 to 507 of the family's 1533-position model. The record is from RNAcentral.
AACGAACGCUGGCGGCAGGCCUAACACAUGCAAGUCGAGCGAGGACUUCGGUCCUAGCGGCGGACGGGUGAGUAACGCGUGGGAACGUGCCCUUUGCUUCGGAAUAGCCCUGGGAAACUGGGAGUAAUACCGGAUGAGCCCUUUGGGGGAAAGAUUUAUCGGCGAAGGAUCGGCCCGCGUUGGAUUAGGUAGUUGGUGGGGUAAUGGCCUACCAAGCCGACGAUCCAUAGCUGGUUUGAGAGGAUGAUCAGCCACACUGGGACUGAGACACGGCCCAGACUCCUACGGGAGGCAGCAGUGGGGAAUCUUAGACCAUGGGGGAAACCCUGAUCUAGCCAUGCCGCGUGAGCGAUGAAGGCCUUAGGGUUGUAAAGCUCUUUCAGCUGGGAAGAUAAUGACGGUACCAGCAGAAGAAGCCCCGGCUAACUCCGUG